Molecule: ribosomal RNA, 774 nt
Filed under: uncultured Neocallimastigales
Lineage: Eukaryota; Fungi; Neocallimastigomycota; Neocallimastigomycetes; Neocallimastigales
Description: partial large subunit ribosomal RNA
Rfam family: Eukaryotic large subunit ribosomal RNA
Source: RNAcentral
UAUCUCUGUAGAGUCUGCAUAUCAAUAAGCGGAGGAAAAGAAACUAACAAGGAUUCCCUUAGUAACGGCGAGUGAAGCGGGAAGAGCUCAAAUUUGAAAUCUUCAAGGUUUUACCUUGACGAAUUGUAGUUUAAAGAAGUGUUUUCUGUUGAAGUUUCGGUAAAAGUUCUUUGGAAUAGGACAUCAUAGAGGGUGAGAAUCCCGUAUUUGACCAUUAUUUCCAGCUUUGUGAUACACUUUCAAAGAGUCGGAUUGUUUGGGAAUGCAGUCCAAAAUGGGUGGUAAAUUUCAUCUAAAGCUAAAUAUUGGCGAGGGACCGAUAGCGAACAAGUACCGUGAGGGAAAGAUGAAAAGAACUUUGAAAAGAGAGUUAAACAGUACGUGAAAUUGUCAAAAGGGAAGCGUUUGACACCAGUGUUGUUUUCUCGAAAAUCAAUUAAAAAAAGUUGGAUUUUGUAUUGUUAAGACCUUAUCAGCUUACUGUACUCUUUUCUUGCUUUUUUUAAUGCACUUUUCGUUUAACAAGUCAACAUCAAUUUCUUUUGUUGUAAAAGAGUCAUUGGAAGGUGGCUUUCACUUCGGUGAAAGUGUUUAUAGCCUUUGGCUUCUGCAAUCGGAGAGAUUGAGGUCUGCAGCGUAGAUCCUUCGGGGCUAGAUACGUAGAUGCUAAGUUAUAGUUUUUUAUAGACAACUUGUUGACUAUAAUUAAUCAUGUAGCUUACUCGUUUGCGCUAUUUUACCUACGCUUAGGAUGUUGAUCUGUAGUGCGUGCGC